This 345-nucleotide unclassified non-coding RNA is filed under the name soil metagenome. Its description in RNAcentral is "partial contains 5.8S ribosomal RNA, internal transcribed spacer 2, and large subunit ribosomal RNA". The stretch from base 1 to 119 matches the Rfam family "5.8S ribosomal RNA", at positions 36 to 154 of the family's 154-position model. The record is from RNAcentral.
AUGAAGAACGUAGCAAAAUGCGAUAAGUAAUGUGAAUUGCAGAAUUCAGUGAAUCAUCGAAUCUUUGAACGCACAUUGCGCCCGCCAGUAUUCUGGCGGGCAUGCCUGUUCGAGCGUCAUUUCAACCCUCAAGCCCUCGGGUUUGGUGUUGGGGAUCGGCGAGCCUUUCUGGCAAGCCGGCCCCGAAAUCUAGUGGCGGUCUCGCUGCAGCCUCCAUUGCGUAGUAGUAAAACCCUCGCAACUGGAACGCGGCGCGGCCAAGCCGUUAAACCCCCAACUUCUGAAUGUUGACCUCGGAUCAGGUAGGAAUACCCGCUGAACUUAAGCAUAUCAAUAAGCGGAGGA